This 234-nucleotide ribosomal RNA is filed under the name uncultured bacterium. Its description in RNAcentral is "partial 16S ribosomal RNA". It matches the Rfam family "Bacterial small subunit ribosomal RNA", at positions 118 to 351 of the family's 1533-position model. The record is from RNAcentral.
UGAGGAACCUGCCCUUAACUCUGGGAUAAGCCUGGGAAACUGGGUCUAAUACCGGAUAUGACUCCUCAUCGCAUGGUGGGGGGUGGAAAGCUUUAUUGUGGUUUUGGAUGGACUCGCGGCCUAUCAGCUUGUUGGUGAGGUAAUGGCCCACCAAGGCGACGACGGGUAGCCGGCCUGAGAGGGUGACCGGCCACACUGGGACUGAGACACGGCCCAGACUCCUACGGGAGGCAG